CCCUUAGAUGUCCGGGGCCGCACGCGCGCUACACUGAAGGAAUCAGCGUGGCUUUCUCCCUGACCCGAAAGGGUUGGGAAACCCGUUGAAUCUCCUUCGUGAUAGGGAUUGGGGCUUGAAAUUGUUCCCCAUGAACGAGGAAUUCCCAGUAAGCGCGAGUCAUAAGCUCGCGUUGAUUACGUCCCUGCCCUUUGUACACACCGCCCGUCGCUACUACCGAUUGAACGGUUUAGUGAGGGCCUCGGAUUGGUCUCGGCCCGCUCUUUACCGGGCGGCGCCGUUGGUCGAGAAGACGCUCGAACUUGAGCGUUUAGAGGAAGUAAAAGUCGUAACA
Molecule: ribosomal RNA, 334 nt
Filed under: uncultured eukaryote
Lineage: Eukaryota
Description: partial 18S ribosomal RNA
Rfam family: Eukaryotic small subunit ribosomal RNA
Source: RNAcentral